Molecule: ribosomal RNA, 301 nt
Filed under: uncultured bacterium
Lineage: Bacteria
Description: partial 16S ribosomal RNA
Rfam family: Bacterial small subunit ribosomal RNA
Source: RNAcentral
AGUCGCCGCGGGAAUACGAGGGGGGCAAGCGUUGUUCGGAAUUAUUGGGCGUAAAGGGUGCGUAGGCGGCUUGACAAGUCUUGUGUGAAAUCUAUGGGCUCAACCCAUAGUCUGCACGGGAAACUGUCGGGCUUGAGAAUGGGAGAGGUGAGUGGAAUUCCCAGUGUAGAGGUGAAAUUCGUAGAGAUGUGGAGGAACACCAGUGGCGAGGGCGACUCUCUGGUCUGUAACUGACGCUGAGGUGCGAAAGCGUGGGGAGCAAACAGGAUUAGAUACCCCUGUAGUCCCUGUCUCUUAUACC